CUGUGAGUCCGAUGGCGGCGAUGAUCACCAUCUCUGUACCUGUCCUGUUCAUAUCGCUCCCUACUUCUGCUCCGGCUUCGCCUUCUAUAGUCUCUGUCCUGAUAAUCCUCUCGAUACCUUCACAAAUGGCUAGCACUCAUAUUAAAAAUAAAGAUAAUUCAUCUGAAAUACUAUACCAAUUUUAGUACUAUGAGUAACAGAGCUAUCAUCCCAGCUGAAAAUUUCUUAAGUUAUAUUGUAUAGGUCUAAUUUGGUGCCUUCGUGGUACCAUUUGGGCACUUGAGCAAUAACCAUGAAACACAACACCAUUUUGCAGGGGCCCUUGUAUGCUAUAGCCUAUCACAAAGGUAAUAUGUGCAGCAUACAUUCAUUUUCAUUUCAUAUUUUAUAGUGGAAUAGUAUUCCUUUAAUCCUCUUUAUUUGGCAUUGUAGCAGUUAAACGAGACAGCUAGGAGUACAUCUCUACUAAAGUAGUGAAGUGUGCCUAUUCCAUUUAGUGCAAGCAACACUUUUCUUUGUUUAUUGGUUAAUAAGCCUAAACAUGAGCAGUUUGGGAGACAAACAUAUUUAGUACGCAGCAAGAUUCACAAAGUCAAUAAGGGCAUGAGGUCAUAGCUAGCUUUUCCUUCAGUGCAUGCAAUUUUGAAACAUCAUACACAAAGGGAACAGAGGGAGUACCAAGUAUGUCAUUGUCAAGAUUCAAAUAUGCAGGCUAUUUCUUACCUUGGUCUUGGACUGCGGCUUCUGAAACGACCCCUUGGCUUUGGAUUUUCUUCUGUAAUUCUACCCCUAUGGCUGCAAACACAAACAAGAAGGCAAUGCUUAAUAAGUGAAAUUGCUUUU
Molecule: long non-coding RNA, 843 nt
Filed under: Sorghum bicolor (sorghum)
Lineage: Eukaryota; Viridiplantae; Streptophyta; Magnoliopsida; Poales; Poaceae
Description: long non-coding RNA (SBIC_LNC013614)
Source: RNAcentral